Molecule: long non-coding RNA, 430 nt
Organism: Tachyglossus aculeatus (Australian echidna)
Lineage: Eukaryota; Metazoa; Chordata; Mammalia; Monotremata; Tachyglossidae
Exons: 2
Source: RefSeq, a predicted model, not a curated record
CGGGUGGCGGAAGCCGCAGAGCAGCUCCGGGCGGGAGUAGGGGUGGGAGAGGGCGCGGAAGGUGUCCAGCGGGCGGAUGGAGGGGGCGAAGGGCGACGAGGCCGCCGCCGCCGCCGCCGCCGCCGCCGCCGCCGCCGCCGUCGUCACCCCGACGUGGGGGUAGUAGUGCAGCGGCACGUGCGAGUGGAAAGGGUACGGCAGGCUCCCCGUGGCCGCCGCGUGCGUCAUCAUCCGUUAUACUGUGAUUAUACGACAACGACCGCUACGGAAAAUAAAUGAUCGAUUUUUUUCAUAAAAGCGAAGGGAAAGUUUCCACCUCCAGGAAUCGCAGAGAAACAAAGACUAACGGGAUUUUCUGGUGGUUCGACAAAAAGGGCGAGGAAGAGGACAAUUCGCUGGGCAUUAUGCAAUAAAACAAUCCCAACCGAUA